This 172-nucleotide ribosomal RNA is filed under the name Bacillus amyloliquefaciens. RNAcentral describes it as "partial 16S ribosomal RNA". It matches the Rfam family "Bacterial small subunit ribosomal RNA", at positions 1 to 169 of the family's 1533-position model. The record is from RNAcentral. Lineage: Bacteria; Bacillati; Bacillota; Bacilli; Caryophanales; Bacillaceae.
UUAUCGGAGAGUUUGAUCCUGGCUCAGGACGAACGCUGGCGGCGUGCCUAAUACAUGCAAGUCGAGCGGACAGAUGGGAGCUUGCUCCCUGAUGUUAGCGGCGGACGGGUGAGUAACACGUGGGUAACCUGCCUGUAAGACUGGGAUAACUCCGGGAAACCACAGAGAAAAA